UGAAACAUAUGAAGCCUUUUAUUGAAAACGGUAUCACUGUCACCAACCAGCAGUGUCUGAAGUGCAAAGAAAAGGAACAACCUAUCUUGGAGACGAGAUCUAUUCAAAACAUUCGAGAUUUUGUGCGCAACAGAGGACUGGCCUUUAAAAAAAAUAAAUAAAUGUUAAACACUAAAUGCACUUUUUGACAGUCUGAGCCUUUACCUUUCUGGGCCUGAUUUCAAGGUUAGUGUUCUCCAUUCAAAAAGUAUGUAGUUGACUUCACUGUGCUCACAGGCAGUGUUUUGUUUUGAUGUGUGGUUAGCCUGAGUCUUUUAAUGCCAGGAUUCACUUUUAUUUUCCUUCAAUAAUUGUUACAAUGCUGUCCUUUUAAUGAAUUGAUUAUUGAGUUGGUUAUAUUAAAUAUAGUUCAGUAAUUCAACAAAUGUGUUGUGUGUUGAUAUAAGUCUUAUGUAUAAGUCAUGGUGUCAGCCCGACUCACCCCUGGUGUGCAAAGGUGCUGUUUUAUUGGUCAGCCACUCAGUGCCAGUUUCUUCAGGACAAUGAAAAACUCUAUAAUACAUAGUUUGUUCUAGUUGAUGCAAGCACUGUUGUGUUAUGCUUCUAGUUGUUUUAAUGACACUUUGACCACCUGUUAGUAGAUCACAACAGAUAUGAUCUGUGGUGUUUUAUGUAAGCUUGUAUGUCAGAUUGUAAUGCUCAUCAGAGAAAACCAAAAUAUAGUCUUUUUAUUAUUUUUUAAUUUAUUCAUCCAUCCAUCCAUCUUCAACCGCUUAUCCGAGGCCGGGUCGCGGGGGCAGCAGCCUAAGCAAAUUUAUUCAAUUUUACUAUAAUGAUGUAUCAGUCACAGUCUUAUAAUACACCUUCUUUUCUAAGAAGGUUAUACUUAGUGCAUGUGUGAGUAUAUGUACAGUGAACUGGCUUUACACACCAUGUGUCCUUUUAAACCAGAUUUACUCAGUGUGUGUGUGUGUGUGUGUACAGUAGACUGGCUUUACACACCAUGUGUCCUUUUAAACCAGAUUUACUCAGUGUGUGUGUGUGUGUGUGUGUGUACAGUAGACUGGCUUUAUACACCAUGUGUCCCUUCAGAACAGACUAUACUUUGUGUAUAUGUAUGAUGACAUCACUGACCUUGUACACCAGACUGUCCUUAUAGACCGAGCUACAGAAAAGUCUCUACAAACCACCAGAAUGUCUGAAAAAAUAGCCUUUUUUAUAUCUCAGUCGAGCAAAGAAAAUGUUUAAAUUUUAAGUUGUGUAUAGGUUUGCUGAUUUUUUUCAUGAUUUUUGAUAUGCAUAUUGUAGCUCUAGCACCUCUGGAACCCGGUGUCCCCAUAGCCCUAUGUCCACUCUAAUUUGCCAAAAAUUUCAGAAAUUGUCCCUCUAACCCAAGAAACGGGUAUGUGUGUGUGUGUGUGUGUGUGUGUGUGUGUGUGUGUGUGUGACCCCAUAAACGACUUCCCUAAACCUGCUGGUCUGGAAGUCCAGCAGUUCAUCUAAACAAAAGGCACUUAGACUAAAACAGAUAUACGUGUGUUUGCUAUACCAUAUAUCAGAAGAGAAGAUACAACCUUGCUCAUGAUCCCAAGACGUGUGUGAACUAUGCCAGAACACUCUGAGGAGGAGUGAACACCCUCCCCUCUUCAUGCUACACAGAGUUGUUACAGACCUCCUAGGAUGAGACAUUCUUUCAAUCUAUAAAUGAUUAUAUACUUCUAAACAUAUAUGAGUAGAUAUUUCUAAGCAUAAAUGACAACCAACAAUACAACUCUAACAAUGACAGCACUCCUGUAUGUGAACACCACAGCCCAGCGUUUACAGACUUUUAAAAGCUUUGUAAGAAAAACUAUUUAAACAUGAAGGAAGUAUAAAAACUAACAUUGU
This is a long non-coding RNA of Oreochromis niloticus (Nile tilapia), 1887 nucleotides long. NCBI's taxonomy places the organism in Eukaryota, Metazoa, Chordata, Actinopteri, Cichliformes, Cichlidae. The record is from Ensembl.